This 742-nucleotide ribosomal RNA is filed under the name Lactobacillus casei group sp. Its description in RNAcentral is "bacterial SSU rRNA". It matches the Rfam family "Bacterial small subunit ribosomal RNA", at positions 51 to 757 of the family's 1533-position model. Lineage: Bacteria; Bacillati; Bacillota; Bacilli; Lactobacillales; Lactobacillaceae. The record is from RNAcentral.
AUACAUGCAAGUCGAACGAGUUCUCGUUGAUGAUCGGUGCUUGCACCGAGAUUCAACAUGGAACGAGUGGCGGACGGGUGAGUAACACGUGGGUAACCUGCCCUUAAGUGGGGGAUAACAUUUGGAAACAGAUGCUAAUACCGCAUAGAUCCAAGAACCGCAUGGUUCUUGGCUGAAAGAUGGCGUAAGCUAUCGCUUUUGGAUGGACCCGCGGCGUAUUAGCUAGUUGGUGAGGUAAUGGCUCACCAAGGCGAUGAUACGUAGCCGAACUGAGAGGUUGAUCGGCCACAUUGGGACUGAGACACGGCCCAAACUCCUACGGGAGGCAGCAGUAGGGAAUCUUCCACAAUGGACGCAAGUCUGAUGGAGCAACGCCGCGUGAGUGAAGAAGGCUUUCGGGUCGUAAAACUCUGUUGUUGGAGAAGAAUGGUCGGCAGAGUAACUGUUGUCGGCGUGACGGUAUCCAACCAGAAAGCCACGGCUAACUACGUGCCAGCAGCCGCGGUAAUACGUAGGUGGCAAGCGUUAUCCGGAUUUAUUGGGCGUAAAGCGAGCGCAGGCGGUUUUUUAAGUCUGAUGUGAAAGCCCUCGGCUUAACCGAGGAAGCGCAUCGGAAACUGGGAAACUUGAGUGCAGAAGAGGACAGUGGAACUCCAUGUGUAGCGGUGAAAUGCGUAGAUAUAUGGAAGAACACCAGUGGCGAAGGCGGCUGUCUGGUCUGUAACUGACGCUGAGGCUCGAA